Molecule: ribosomal RNA, 459 nt
Filed under: uncultured bacterium
Lineage: Bacteria
Description: partial 16S ribosomal RNA
Rfam family: Bacterial small subunit ribosomal RNA
Source: RNAcentral
CCUACGGGAGGCAGCAGUGAGGAAUAUUGGUCAAUGGCCGGAAGGCUGAACCAGCCAAGCCGCGUGAAGGACGAAGGUGCCAAGCAUUGUAAACUUCUUUUGUCAAGGGACAAAAUCAGGCUCGAGAGCCUGACCGAGGGUACUUGAAGAAAAAGCAUCGGCUAACUCCGUGCCAGCAGCCGCGGUAAUACGGAGGAUGCGAGCGUUAUCCGGAUUUAUUGGGUUUAAAGGGUGCGUAGGCGGACUGUUAAGUCAGCGGUAAAAGCCCGGGGCUCAACCCCGGCGAGCCGUUGAAACUGGCUGUCUUGAGAUGUCGAGAGGUAUGCGGAAUGCGCAGUGUAGCGGUGAAAUGCUUAGAUAUUGCGCAGAACACCGAUUGCGAAGGCAGCUUGCUAGGCCGGAUCUGACACUGAUGCACGAAAGCGAGGGGAUCGAACAGGAUUAGAUACCCGAGUAGUC